RNAcentral lists this long non-coding RNA (892 nucleotides) under Bos taurus (domestic cattle). RNAcentral's name for it is "long non-coding RNA NONBTAT022638". Lineage: Eukaryota; Metazoa; Chordata; Mammalia; Artiodactyla; Bovidae. The record is from RNAcentral.
UUUUUGGAGGAAAUAUCUUUAUCAAAGUACAAUUUUUACAUAAGGGUCAGCAUGAAGAUGACUAUUACCUUUUCAACAGGACUUUUUCUCUGAAAGCUCCCCCAUUCAAAAGAUAAUUAAGCCAAUCUUGGCAUUUGCUUUUAAAAGGACCCAUUUAUGAUGUUUUAAAAGGAAUGGUAUGUAUUUGCAGCUUUGAAUUACACAGGGGCAAAACUGAUAGCUCAAAAUUCUAAACAAUGCAUGUAAUAUAAUAAUGUGCAGCAGCAUUAUCCAGGAAAGCAGGAUUGAAGAAAAGACCCUCCCAGCACCAUGCAAAGGUACAAGAAAAAUAACACAUCUGGUUGAUGUGAGUCACCAUUUUUAUGGAUCAAAGCACAAAAACUGAAGCCAACAAACCGCUUAUAUUUAUUAACCUUCAAGGCUUAUUUAUAUGAAAAUUGAUGAUGUUUCAUAGUAAAAAUUGAUUUAAAUCAAUCUACUAUUAAUUUGCUUACCUAAACAGUUUUAGUCUUUAAUUUAUUAAAAAGAUAAUAUUGAAUUAACAAUUCAAUUUUUCUGUAUGCAAACCUAAAUAGGAAAAAAAAAAAAGUUGUCACUAUGCUCACAUAUAAUGUAUAGCAAAGUAAUGUUUCUGCUGUGUGACCCAUCAAGCCCAGCAACUACGAACUGGAUAUAACAACAACGGGAGUGAAUUCCCAUUCCUAUUCCUGAAAUACUACAUGAACAUCUAUCAUUAUUUCAUUUAUUUAUUGGCCAAAUCUUUACUAAGCAAUUAUCAUUUUCCCCAUCCACUAUGCAAAGAGGUAGAAGAGACUAUGAAACAAAUGUAAAUUUUCACCCUUGAAGUCAGAGGUUUACACUUUAAUUGAAGAGGUUAUCUUGCAAGUCUUCU